This 13925-nucleotide ribosomal RNA is filed under the name Tilletia controversa (dwarf bunt fungus). RNAcentral's name for it is "large subunit ribosomal RNA". The stretch from base 5975 to 7064 matches the Rfam family "Bacterial large subunit ribosomal RNA", at positions 1302 to 2043 of the family's 2925-position model. The record is from RNAcentral. Lineage: Eukaryota; Fungi; Basidiomycota; Exobasidiomycetes; Tilletiales; Tilletiaceae.
UAUUAUAAUAUUAUAUUGAAAAGAUAUAUUCAAUUAUGCCACUGUAGGCGGUUAUAAACAAAGAUUAGAAUAAUAAAUAACUAAUAUCAUCUUUUAAUGCUCUACGUCACGUUUUUUAUUAUCUAGAAUAAAAAAGCAAAUAAAAGGAGUAUGCCCAAAGGACUCUACAAUUUAAAUACGAUAAGACAGGCAUACUUUUUAAUCCUUAUAUGAUCUUUGCUUUUUUUAUUAAUAAAAAAAGUUAAAAAGUGGUUGGCAUACUUUAUAAUUUUGUUAUAUACUCCUUCUCACGUUCUUACCUAUAUCUUUUUUUCUAAAAUUUGCGCUACGUCACAUUUUUUUCCUUUCUUUUUUCAUUAUAUUUAUAUAAUGAUAUCGCCCGGCAAAGGGGCAAAGGCGCAAAUGGGCAAAGAAAGGCGUUUAAAAUUAAGCACUUAAAAAAGCACAUAGUGAGCCAGACUAGGCCUACGUCCUUACAGAAUCUGACGCUAAAAAAUAACGUAAGUUUAAAGGGCAUAGGUAUUCUAUUAAAUAUAAGAAGAGUUUUAGUUUUAAAUGGGACGUAAAGUAUGACCAACUUUUUAUGUUUAAGUUCAUUUAAUCCCCCUUGGGGCGUUAAGAUAAGGGUAUAGUCCUAGUGUAAAGGUGAGCACAGACAGAUUCCAACCAUUACAAAAAAUAACUUGGCGCCCUCCCUUCUUUCAUUUUUAAACUUUUUUAUUAUAUAUAAUAAAAAAAUUAUAUAAAAAUUUCCUGGGGCUAUAGAAGUGAACCUGCCGAUAACCUUACUUAUAAGAUAUUAAUAUUUAAAUAAGUGGCCCUCCGGGUGUAUAAGUUACGCCGAUACUAUACCAAGAGUGUAGUUUUAAAUACAGUAGGCUCUGCCUAUAAACUUAAAAUAGUAUUCAGUAUAGCCUAUACAAUAUAAGGUCUUAAUAUAUAUUAUAUUUGAUUCUAUUAUUAUUACUUUACUUAUAUUUUUUUUUAUUAUAAUAAAAAGGUUAAUAAUUUAGCACCAAUUUUAUCUUUUUCAUUCUUUUUUUUUAUACAUAAAAAAAGAUAAGGACACCUUUGCACUUUUUAAUUAUAUAUAAUAAAAUAAGGUAAGAUAUAUAAUAAAAAAAGAACGUGCAAAGCGAUUAACUUUACUCACUAUCUAUAUAUCUAUGAAAUUAAUAUUAAAUUCAUGACAAUAAACUAUUGUUUGUCAUUUAUUUUCUUUGCUUUACGGCUACGCCGAUUAUAGAUAAUAAAAAAUUAAAAAAUUCUGUAAGGUGAGGGUCAUAAUAGACUGCAAUUAUUAUUAUUAAAGUGGUCCGCAAAGGCUACGCCCUUCUAUACGUUGUUAUCGGCGCUAAAAUUCUUAUCUUACUUGUUCGCUUUGGAUUUCUAUAUUCUGGGUAACCUUAUACAAAGCGCCGGGCAAAUUACGUUCUUAUUAUAUAUAAUAAAAAUCAAAGAAGCGUGGCUCGGCGGAGCCGUUAAGAUAUAAAUAAAAAUAGAAAUAUAAAUUGCCGGGCAAAGGGGCAAAGGGGUAAAGGGACUAAGGGGCAAAGGGGCAAAGGGGCAAAGGGGCAAAGGGGCAAAGGGAGGUGUUGAAACAUAAAUAGAAAUAGGAAUAGAAAUAGAAAUCAAAUAUCUAUAUAUGUCCCGGUAAUUACAAAUCCUAGGAGACGUGUGAAGAGCCCUGCAAAGGGAACCGUCGAGUUUAUUUUUUUUAUUAUAUAUAUAAUAUCCUAAUAGCCAGGCAAAGGGUGGGUCGGUAACGUCUUUGCUUUUUUAUUAUAUAGAAUCGGCGGAGCCUCGGCGGAGCCUCGGCGGAGCCUCGGCGGAGCCUCGGCGGAGCCGUAAAGUGCAAGGACUUCUCUUAGGUAUAAUACUAGAUAAUAAAGCAGUUAUUAUACGUCUAUUCUGCAAUUUUACUUUAUAAUUAUAAGUAUCAAUAAUGAUAUGGAGUAUAUUAUUUAGUAAUUAAAGAAACUAUUAGGGAUGCCUAGUAUAUAUGUAAUAAAAGGAAGUAAAAAACUAAAAGUGUAUUAAAUAAUCAGAAUAAUAUUCAAUCCUAAGGAAAACCUAAAUUUAUUAGAACAUUGAGAAGUAAAACAUUACAGUAUCAAUAGGAAAGGAAAUCAACCGAGACUUUGGAAGUAAUGGUGAAUGAAACCAAAAUAGCUAUUAAUUAAUUCUAUAGUCUUCUUUUUUAUAAUAUCUCACGGCUCCGCCGAUAAUAAAAAAGAUUAGGUAUACAAGUUAUUAAUUAUGUACUCAUAUUUUUUUAUGCCCUUUGGGCCUUUGUUUUUUUCUGCUUUUUUAUUAUAAAUAAUCGGCGAAGCCGUAAAGUGGAGAAAAAACAAAGGGAGCGCCGGAUCUUACCUUGACUUUUUCUAUUUUUGCUUUUUUUUUAUUUUUUUUUUUAUUAUAUAUAUAUAAUAAAAAAAAAACAAAGGAUAAUAAGCCCAAAAAAAGAAAAAAAAAGAAGAAGGGGCAAGGGGAGGCGUUUAAAAAAGUUAUAAAGACAAUAUAUGUAGUAAUAAUUUUUUAAAAUACGUAAUAUGUGAGAUUAUAGAUUAUUAUUUAUAAUAUAAUAUUUUGAAAUAAAUAAAAUACUAUCUUAAUAUUAUUAUUUAAAGGGGGCAUCGUCCCCUCUUUGCUUUUUUAUUUAUAAAAAAGUUUAAAAAAAGAAAUAUUUAGUAUUCCAUAGAAGGUUAUAGCCCAGUAUUAUUAUAAUAUUAGUUAAUUUAGAUGGGCUUUGUUCAUACCUUUUUUUUCUUAUAUAAUGAAAAAAAAAAAAUAAAAAAAGUAUGCCGAGCCUAUAUAAUUUAAACUUAACUCCUUUUUAAACUUUUUUUUAUACUAAAAAAAUAAAAGGAGUUAAGAUUAAGAUAAAUAAUAAGUACUAAGAGGACGUCAGCCUUUUAGGAAAAUAGGGGUACCAUCCUCUAAAGCUAAGUAUAACAUAUAUAACAAUAAAGAAGAGUAACGUGAGUGAAAGGUGAAAAGUAAGUAGAUGACUAGUUAAAUAGAUUCUGAACUAGUAGUUUUAUAAGCAGUUAAAGUUCUAUAAGUUAGAAUAAUAACGUACCUUUUGCAUAAUGGGUCAGCGAGUUAAUUUUUAUAGCAUGACAAAUAGUCUAAGUGAAAGCAAUUGCAUAAAUAUACUUAACGUAUGAAAGUGGUAGAGUCUAAUCUUUAUCAGGGGUUCCUCUUUGCUUUUUUAUUCUUUGUUUUUUAUUAUAAUAAAAAAAAUAAAUAUAAUGAAGAAAAAAAAAGGAUAAAAAAGCAAAGACGCAUAAAAAAAGUGACGGGGGGGCGAAGCCUCCCCCGUCACUUUUUUUAACCGGUGAUCUCUUUUACCCUUUUUAAAUAUGCAAAUUAGUUAUAAAAAUUAGACCCGAAGCCAAGUGAUCUUACUAUGAUCAGGUAUUAAAUAUAUAAUGACCGAACAAGUGAAUGUUGCAAAAUUCUUUGAUGAAUUGUAGUAAGGGGUGAAAUGCUAAUCUAACUUGGUUGAUAGCUGGUAUUCUGCGAAACCUAUUUAGGUAGGAUGUUUAUAAUAAAAAAGUGACAUAAAAAUCAUUUUUAUAGAUUAUUUUUUGUACAGCACUGAUCAUCAUAUGUUAUCUUUAUAUGUUACUAUACAAGGAAACUUUUAUUCUAACAUGGUCGGUAAACUUUUUAAAGUAUCCGAUAAAAUUUAUAUACUAAAUUGGGGGAUUCUAAAUUCUACCAUUGAUGGUUAACCUCGGAAUAAAAAUAAUUGAUUAUAAACGUACAGUCUAUUCUUGAUAAGGUGGAUAGACAAAAGGGAAACAGCCCAGAACAAAAGUUAAGGUCCCUAAAUAUUAUUUAGUGAAAAUAAGAAUGUUUUUUUCCUAACACAACCAUUAAGUAGGCUUGGAGGUACGCAAAAGCGUCAGUGCCUCAGUAGUAAGUGAUUACUAUUUAAGUACCUACUCAAAACGGUGAAACCUAAGGUGUAAACUAUGGCAAUACCGUGGGUAAGUCGUAUCAUUGCAGAGAUUCUUACAUUACUGUUUUUAAAUGGAUUUAAACGACUCUCGCGAGUGCGUGCCAUAUAAAUAGGUAAUGCUUCUAUUUCUUCGUUUUUUACAUUAUAAAUUUUUUAUAUCUAAUAUAAAAGAAAAUAAUUUUUGUAAAGACGGCAAAAGGAAACCCUUGAUAUUGACCCCGUAACGACUGAUUCGAAAGAAGAGACGUAGAAUAAUAUAUUCUAUGUAACACGUAGGCACUCUAUGAAUCUCAAUCUACUAAGGAAUAAAGAAAAAUGAAAAAUAUAUGAACACUAUAAAAAUGAAUACAAAUACAAAUAUGAAAAUAAGCCCUUGGUGGCUAACAGGCUUUACUCAAGCCGAUGGGAGUUUUAUGAUAAUUAUUAAAAAACAACCAAAAGGAAAAAUACCUUACCGUCUUUAUCCUUGUUUUACUCUUACUCAAAAUAUGAUAGAUAUUACCAUGAUGAAAGCUAUUCAUAGCUAUCUAGGAGUUGGUCGGCUAGUAAUCAAUCGAAAUAGGGUAGAUAUAGUAGUAAGUUCUAUGGAUGAUCUUCUACAUGUUAUUAUACCGCAUUUUGAUAAAUAUCCACCACGUAGUGGUAAACUAAUGUCUUAUCUUAUUUUUCGAACAGUAGUCCUUGCUAUGAAAGAUAAAAUGCACAGUAGUCCCGAGGGUUUCCUUAAGCUACUUGAUCUCUGUUAUUUUACACAUAGCACUUCUACUCGUACGAUAGUGUCAAAACAAAUAAUAGAAAAUAGAGUGGGUAUUAUAAAUAAAUCAAAGGAUCUAGUACCUAUUGAUUUUUCAAUAGUAACACCGUCCCGAGAACAUGUAAAUUUUAAUAAUGAUUUUAUAGCCGGACUUUUUGAUGGUGAUGGUAAUCUAGGCUUUAGCUUUAGAAAAACAAAAAUACAAAGUUUUUUCCAAGUAACUCAAGGUAUAGAUGACUAUUCUCUCCUUCUAGAUCUUAAAAUAUUUUUCCAAUGUGGGAAUGUAAGUUCUGUUUGGGGCACUAAAAGAGAAGCUAGACGAUAUCGGGUUUCAGGUAUUUCCAAUCUAGUAGAAAAAGUUCAACCGGUACUAGAAUCAGUAGAACUGAAAAGUAUAAAAAGAACUUAUCUAGAACCUAGUUUUGAAGCAUGAAAAAUACAAUAUCAGGGUAUAAAAUCAAAUAGAGAUGAACUAGCUAUAAUAGAUCUAGUUUAUGAUCUACAUCAAGGUGGAAAAUCCCGAAAAGUAGAUAAAGAAAGAUAUAAACUUUCUCGUAAACUAUAUAUGUAAAACCACAAUCUCUAUAUUUCUACCCCCCCCUAUGGUAAGAUAAUCAUAUUUAUAUUUAUACUCAUAUUUAACCUGUGUUCAUAUUUACUAUCUGAUGGAUAAAGUCCAUCAUAUUCCUAAGGUAGAAAUAGAGUUGAAGGUAUAGUCUGAUCUAUUGUGAAAACGAUAGAAUAAUUGAGCCAUCUUUUUAUGAUAGUGUAAUAACUCAGUGGUCUAAACGCCUUCCGGGCGAUAUAAUUAAUUAUAUUGGAAAAAAGCGUCUACAAUUUAUUGGGUCUCAGAUAAUAUACCUACACUUUGUCUAUUUUAUUGAAAAUACUUUAAAGCCGAAGGCAAAGGCCGAAGGCAAAGGCCGAAGGCCUCCUUUUUUAUUAUGUCUAAUAAAAAAGCAAACCCCCUAGGGAGGGCGAAGCCCCCCCAUCACUUUUUAAAAAGAAAUUGCCGAAGGCGUUGUGAUUCUUUGCUUUUUUAUUAUAUUUUUUUAUUAUAUUUAUAUAAUAAAAAAACAAAGAUAGAAUCGGCGAAGCCUCGGCGAAGCCGUAAAGUUAACAUUUAACACGUGGUAUAAUAAAAAAAUAUGAAAAGAUUUAAAUAAAAUAAGGGUAGCAGAACAUUUAGUAUAAUAAUGAAAAUUUGUAUUUAUUGAUAAAUUGGAAGAUACUAAAGAGAAAAUGCUGACAUGAGUAACGUAGAAAGGGAUUAAAAUAUUCCUCACCGAAAACGAGAGGGUUUCAUAGAUAAGUUUAUCUGCUAUGAGUUAAUCGGUUUCUAAGGCAUAUAUAUGAUCAUAUAUAUCUGAUGACAUUAAACUUUUUUUUUUUUAUUACCUAGGAGGACGCCUAUGUCCUUUUUUUCUAUUUCUUACCUUUUUUAUUAUAUAACGGGCAAAGGCCCCGCCCCCUUCUUUUUUAAUAUAUAAACUUUUUUAAGUAUUUAUCGAUAAUAAAAAAGCAAAGAAAAGAACGGUACGGAGGUGUUAAAAAUGGAUUACUGGAAUAGAAUGCCCUAAUCUUUACGGCUUCGCCGAGGCUUCGCCGAGGCUUCGCCGAUUAUUAUAAAAAGAAGGGAUAGGGGGGGGUCUACGACCUCCCCUUCUAGAAGGUUAUAAAAUAAUUAAAAACUACCGGGCUUUGUCCCGUAUCAAGAAAUUAAUGAUAAAAAUAAUAUGUAAAUAACAUAGUUAGGCGAGGUGUAUUCUUUUAACUUUAUUUAAAACUUUUUGAUCUUUUAGCUUUUUUAUUAUCGAUAAUAAAAAAGUUAAAAGUUCAAAAAGUUAUAAAGCAAAGAGGAUGCGCCCUUCAAAAUAAAAGAAUAAAUUAAAUUAUUAUCGACUCUAUGCUUUUUAUUUAUAUAACAUUUUAUAGACCGUACCCUAAUCCGACACAGGUUCGUAGGUAGAGAAUACUAAGGUGUAGAGAUAAUACUUGUGAAGGAACUCGGCAAAAUGUAUCCGUACGUUCGACAAUAAGGAUAACCAUUUUAUGUAUAUCUUUGUAUACAUACAAUGUGUGACACAAAAUCGAGAGCUGCGACUGUUUACCAAAAACACAGCAACUUGCUAAGACAUUUAGUAUUUGUAUAAGUUGUGAACUCUGCCCGAUGCCACAUAGUAUAAAAAAGAUGAUUUUAUGUCAUUGAUCGACACUGUGGUGAAUGGCGGUCUUAACUAUAAGGAUCUGAAAGUAGCAAAAUUCCUUGGCCAUUAAAUGUGGUCCUGCAUGAAUGAGGUAACGUGGCUCUGCUGUCUCCACAAGUAUCUCAGUGAAAUUGAAUUAGCCGUGCAGAUGCGGUUUGUCUUCAGGUAGACGGGAAGACCCUAUGCAACUUUACUGUAGUUUGAUAUUGUGUUUUUGUUCUUUAAGUGUAGAAUACAAGGGAGUAAAUAUUUUACGUCAGUGAAAUACCUUGAUUAAUAGAAUAAGAAAACUUACCAAAAUAAAUUACGAGGGCUACGCUCUUGAAAAACCACAUUUUGGGAAAAUGUCAAAUUGUCAGUUUGACUGGGACGGUAGCCUCUAAUAAAGUAUCAGAGGCCUUCAAAGGUAUGUAUAUAUUGGUCAGAAACCAAUAAAUUAUGAAUAAUUUAAUAAAAUAUACGCUAGGGAUGGACUAAACCUAGUCCCUAGCUAUCUUUGCUUUUUUAUUAUAUAUAAUAAAAAAGUUACAAUAAAACAUUGUAAUUUAAAAAAUCGGGUGAAUUGCAAGAACCUCUUAAAAAUUACGAUCCUUUUAAGACAAUUUGCAGCGAAGUUACAGUAUACGGGUACUACCGUUUAUACUAUAAAACGUUCAACGACUAGAGAAUAUUAUUUCUCCACGAGCGCCCGACAUUUCACUUUUAAUUAGAUUAGAUUAGAUUAGAUUAGAUUAAAUUAAAUUAAAUUAGAUAAAAGAAGCCCCAAUUUAAACUUAAACUAAACUUAAAAAAGCAUUGGCUACGGCCCUAACACAAUAAUAUAAAAACAAAGCGCCGUAGGCGUCUUUGCUUUUUUAUUAUAUAUAAUAAAAAAAUUUAAAAAUGGAACUAGAGCUAAGAGGUAAAAAACUUAGUCCUAAUUCAAAAAUAAUUAAAGAAUAUAAAUCUACUCUCCCAGAACUCACAGAAUUUCAGAAGGAAGUUAGAAUAGGGCAUCUCCUAGGUGAUGCCCGUAUUGAGUCAAGAAAAAGCGGUAAAGGUCAUCUCCUAAAAUUUGAAUGAGGUCAUUCAAAUAAAAGUUAUGCAUUCAGAACAUAUAAUAUUUUUAUCGACUAUUGUCUAACCGAACCACGUCAACAAAAUCGGAUUAAUAAAGCCGGAAACACUAAUAUAACUUGGUGUUUUCAAACUCUUAUUCACUCUAACUUUAAUUUUAACGCCUCGGCGAUUUGGUGAUCUAUUUCUAGAUGAAAAGGGUAAAAAACGAGUGCCUAUAGAGCUAUUUGAUAGCGGUAAUAUUUCUCCAAUUAUACUGGCAUACUGGUUUAUGGACGAUGGUGGUAUGAAUGGAAGUCAUUCACUUCCUCCCCGAGGGGAGGUUAGGUAUACAAUUCAAUACUCAAAGCUUUACUAUUCUUAUCGGCAAAGCCGUUUGCUUUUUUUAUUAUAUAUAAUAAAAAAAGUGAAGAAGUGGAUAAAAUGACUAAUGGCCUUAAUCAAACAUAUAAUUUUAAUGCUUGGCGUGGUUCCAAUAAAGGAAAACCUGUUAUUAACCUUCCUGCGGCAAAGGGAGUGUUUAUGAUAAAUUUAUAACUAUUACAUCUCCCAAAGGGAGACAAGGAAAGGAUUAUAUUCAUCCUAGUAUGAAACAUAAAUUUCGUAUGCGUCUUUGCUUUUUUAUUAUAUAUAAUAAAAAAGUUAAAAAUUAUAGAUGAUAAGCUGAAUAUUUACCCCCCCCUUGGAAUUCUUUGAUUAAUUUAUAUUAAAUGCCUACGGCAUUUUGUUUUUUAUAUAAUAUUUGUUAGUUACUACCUUUGCUUUUUAAUAAUAUCUAAUUAAAAGCUGAAAUGAUGACAUAGUCUAAACUACAUAGCGAUAUGUAGAAAGUAAUUUAAUAGUUACUCUUGGCAUAGCCAAAUAAUAUAAUUUGAACAGGUUUAUCGUUUGCGAGAGUUCAUAUUGUCCAAACGGUUUGACACCUCGAUAAAAAAAAGAGUCAAUGUCGAGGCUAAAUUGGGUUAAUUGCAGGAAAAACUUACUAAUUAACUCAUUAGUAAGUCAAUCUGCAGCGAAGACUAUUACGAUACUAAUUUUAUGUAAUAGGAACGUUCAACGACUAGAAGGUGAGUUGUAUCAACAAUAAUCCUUACCUCUUAUUUCCGUUAUGCUAUUUGCUUUUUUAUUACAUAUAAUAAAAAAGUAGGAAAUAAGUAGAACGCCCAACAAUAAUACAUUAAACCCGGCUUAACUAGUUUUGUAAGCGUGCUUUAACUGACCCAGAUCUCUUCUUUGCUUUUUUUAUUUUUUUUUAUUAUAUAUAUAUAAUAAAAAUAAAAAAAUAAAAAAAGUUUAUUAUAGUAAAUAUUUAACCCCCUAAAUAGUAUCUUUAUAUAUAAAGACAUAAAGAAGAACGGCGAGAGAUAAAAUAACCGGAAUUUAACAGAUAAAAAACAUGAAAACAUUUAUAAAUAAAAAAGGGAAAGGUAUGGGGCCUAGCCUCCUUCCUUUUAACAAUAUUCUAGUACAAGUUCGUAGUAUAAACAAUACACGUGACGGUUACCAUCUUAAUUCAAAAUAUUGGCAAGAUUGGAAAAAAAGACAGCCCAUAAUGUCUCAGGAACUAUAUCAAAUAGCAUUUGGAAUGAUUCUGUCCGAUGCAGGUAUGUCUCGGAAGAGUAAUGAAGCUAUGAUAAAGUUUGAACAAAGGGCUAAUCAAAAGGAUUUUCUUUUUCAUCUUUUUUCCACUUUCAAACCGUAUUGUUAGUCUUUUUUUUUAUAAAAAAAAGAUAUGAUGGAACCGGGUAUUCGUUAUUAUUUUUUUAUUAUAUUUAUAUAAUAAAAAAACAAAGAUAACAGUGGUCCUCUUGAAGGACAAAUAAAAAGUUACUGGUUUAAAACAUUUAGUCAUCAGACUUUCUCGGAACUUUGAUGGGCAGAGCCCACUUAUUUUAUUCCAAUUCCAAUACUAAAGAAAUACGAUCAGGAAUUGUAUCCAACAACAUUUCUGAUAUUAGUCUUGCUUAUUGGAUAAUGGGAGAUGGUAGUCUACAUCGUGAAGGUCGGGUGCUAAGUCUACAUACUCAGAGUUUUGGUUAUGAAGGAUCAAAAAUAAUAAGUGAAGAACUUAAUGAGAAGUUCGGAUUUCAUAGUCGAGUCAUUUCUUCUUUUUUAUUUAUUAUAUAUAAUAAAUAAAAAAGAUAUAAGGAGAAAUAUUGGAUAGUACAAUUUCCAGCUCAAGAUGCAAAUACUCUACAUAAUAUGAUUAAACCGUAUCUUAUUAAUUCUAUGACUUAUAAACUGCCACGAUUUAUAUUAAAAUAUUGUUAACCCCCACCCAUAGCCUGUAGGGAAGUGUGGAAAAUGUUUUGUAUUAUUGAAGAUAUAGUCUAAUCUACAAGGGAACUUGUAGCUCUAAGUGUAAGCAACUUAGAACGUCCAUAAUAAUUUAAUUUAUGGAUGGAAAAUGGUCGACUCAUCUCAUCCUCCAGGUGUAGUAGCUUGGAAGGGUUCAGCUGUUCGCUGAUUAAAGAGGUACGCGAGUUGGGUUUAUUAUUACUUAUGACAAUAAUAACAUUAUAAAUUUUACCAGAUUAAAAAAUAAGACUAAAUACAGACAAAAAAUGAAAAUGAACAAUAAACUACACUAUAUUAUCACGGGGCAAAUCCUUGGUGAUGCUCACCUUGAGAAAAUAAAAGUAAAUUGUCGAAUGUCUUUUUCCUUUGGUUCUUCUUAUCUAGAAUAUGCCAAUUGAAUUAGAUCUCUUUUCUCAGACUACUCUUGCUCUUUUUUUAUAUUAUAAAAAAAGAUAAGGAGUUUAUACUGUAACAGUUAAUAGAAAAGAAAAAUCAUAUGUAAAUUAUCGUCUAAAAACGAAAACACUGCCUAUUUUUAAUGAUUAUCAUAAUACAUUUUAUCGCAACGAUGAAAACAAAUAUAUUAAGAUAAUUCCAUCUCCCUCUGGGAGACAAGAAUAUUAAAAUAAAUCCCGUAGUACUGGCCCAUUUCAAAAGUAGAAAGUAGUCCUUUUUUUAAUAUAUUAAAAAAAGGAUAUGGGUGACGGUAAUUAUUAUAAAGAUGGUCGUAUUCGUAUUUACACUAAUUAUUAUUCAUAUGAUGAAUGUAUUAUUCUACGAAAUAGAAUUCGUGAAGGUUGUGGGAUUCAAUGUGAAGUCCUAUUUGACCGUAUCGGUUCUUAUCAGAAAAAACAAUACAUUCUGACUAUUGCCAAAAGUGAACUAAAAAAAGUACAGACAAUUCUUAUGCCUCAUAUGCACAACAGUAUGCUAUAUCGCAUAGGGCUUUUAUUCUAUUUAAAUAAGACCCCCCCCCACAUUAUAUGUAUUUUGUUUUCAUUAAUUUUUAAUCUUGCCAAAGUUUAUAAAAAAAAAGUAUUGAGCCCAAAUAAAACUGGAUGAAUUGCAGGGAAAACUAAUUGUUAGUUUAUCUGCAGCGAAGUUAUUCUCAAUGCCCUUCUAAUCUUAAUUCUAAUUAGAUUAAGCAUAGAUUGUAGAGAAUAAAACGUUCAACGACUACUUGGUGAGCUGCAUUAGCAAUAAUCCGAUAUAAAGUGUCCAGCAAUAAAUUACAUUGUAAUAGUGUAAUUUAUUGAAGAAAUAGUCUAAUCAAUGAUGUAAAUCAUUGGAAUUCAAAGCCUUUUAAUAUAAUAAGGUCUAGGGGAGACAUAUGAUCUUCCCUUACAAAAUUUGAAUUCAUAAUAAUAUUUGUCAAUACGACGUGAGUCAGUAUGGUCCCUAUCUUCUGAAGAUAUGAAAAAUUGAAAGAGAACCUUUAAUUAGUACGAAAGGACCAUUAAAGAUGAUUCAAUAGUGUACCUAUUGUAUAAUAUUUAUAUACCCUAUAUAUGUACUUUUUGGUUUUAACUUUUUUAAACACCCCCUUUUGCUUUAGCCCCCCGGAUCUUUUUUUUUUUUCUAUAGAAAAAAAGAUGAGAAGAAGGAAGAUCUCUUUUAUUUUUAUAAUAUAAAAAUUUGAAAAAAUAAAGGAUAAUAAGAACGGUAAUGUUAAUCGGCUCUGCCGACAAGAAGAAAGGAAUAAGAAAGGAUUAAAAAGUAGCGCAUUAAAAACAUAAGGUAUAGAUAAAGCAUAGUAGGGUAGCUACAAUCAUGAUUGAUAAGUGCUGAAAGCAUCUUAAGCACGAAGCACCUCUCUAUAAAUUCUAAUAAAUAAGAAAAUGACGAUUUCUUAUCUCCCAGGGAGACUUGAUUAUAAUAAUAAUCAAUAAUAAACAUUUUAAUAUAAUAAGUAAUUUAUAUCUCUGUUUAUUAACAUUAUAGGUUGCUAAUGUAAGUAUGAAUAACAUAUUAAGUUUAGCAAUACUAAUUUAUUUUAUUACUAAAUAAAACCAUAUCUAAUUCUAACUUUUUUAUAGGUAAAUAAUGAAGUGUUCCUUUUUGAUCUUUUUUUAUAUCUUUUUUAUAUCCUUUUAAAAAAAAAUCUAAUAUUUUGCCUUUACUUAUGCUUUUUAGAAGGCCCUGUCCCCAUCUUUUUUAAUAUUAGAAAAAAGAACGGUACGGGCCUUUGCCCUAUUUUUUUUUUCUAUUAUAUAAUUCUUUUUUAUUAAUCUUAAUUUGUUUUUUUAUUAUAUAAAUAUAAUAAAAAAAUGAAAAAACAAAGGGAGCGCCGGUUUAAAAAGGGGGGCUUCCCCCCGCCUUUUUGGUGCUAUGUCUUUGCUUUUUUUUUCAAAAGUUUAAAAAAGUUUAAAAUUAAUAAAAAAAAGCACUGAAUCUGGACAGACAUUAAUAAAAAGACAAAGAAGGGCCCAGGUAUUUUUUUUAUAGGUCCAAUAUAAAAAAAUAUGCCAAUCUUACUGGUUUUCAUUAUAUAGGGAUAUCGUUAACAACUGUAAGAUUAGGGUAAGAUAUAGCACUUAAAAAAAGGGUAUAAAGGUUAAAACCCUGAGCCUAAAUGACUCAUCCUUUACCCUUUUCUCUUUCAUCUUAAUAUAUUGUUAGUUAUAUUGUAUUACGUUGUUCGUUUACCAUUUUUUUAUAAAAAAAGAAAUAUAAGAUUGAGUGUUGUUUUUAUCUUACCUUUACGGCUCCGCCGAUUAGAUAAAAAAAGUGAAUAAUAUAAGAGUUUAAAGACAUAACUGUCUACCGUUUUUCUUGGUCCUUACUUUUUUAUUUUUUUCAUUCUAUUUAUAUAAUUAAAAAAGCAACAAAUUUUUAUUAUUGAUAAUAAAAAGAUGUUAAAUCGCCCCUAGGGCGUUAAUAAGGGAGGCGUUAAGAUAAAAAAGAAGUGUAUAUUUUUUUCUAACCGGCGUUACCGUUAAAUUACCUACACCCUUUUAUCUCUUUUUAUCAAUGUCAAUGCUUUUUUUAUUAAUAAAAAAAAAGCAUAAGCAAAUAACCCCCAAAUAUAUUUAUUUGCUUUUUUUUUAAUAAAAAAAGCAUAAGCUAAGGCAAAAUCUAAUAUUAUAUUUUUUUAUUAUAUUUAUAUAAUAAAAAAAUAAAAAAGAAGGGUAUGUUUUUGUAUAUAAUAAAAAAACAGGGCGAAGCCCCCCCUUUAAAGUUAUAUAGUAGUAUAGAAAAAAAAAAAUAACCUCAUAUAAAACAUAAUUAUAUAAUUUUACCAAAAAGGAAUAGUUAUGUAAUUAGAUGCUUUAUUUUAUACGUGUAAAAUAACGUUAUUAGUCCAUAUAUUAGAAACUAGAUUAUUCGUUCCCUUUAUUUAGUUUCUUAAUUAUAAAAUAAUUUGUUCGAAAAAAAGCUAGAUUAAUACCAACCCUAGUACUAACUUACGGAAGGAUAUAUUUAUUUUUAAUAUAACCCGCAUAAUUCAUAGGUUUUUAUAUAUAUGAAGGCUUCUUUUCUUAUCGGCCUUCUUUUUUUAAGAGGCCGAUAAGAUAGAAAUAAAUUUAAUAUAUGUAUAAUAUAUGACAAAUAAUUACUAUUAUGAUAGGCAUAGCCCUUAUAAUACAGAAUUACAUAGAGCAUUCUUCUUAAUAAGAAAAUCAAGAUAUAAGCUUAUUAA